RNAcentral lists this ribosomal RNA (181 nucleotides) under Staphylococcus aureus. Its description in RNAcentral is "partial 16S ribosomal RNA". It matches the Rfam family "Bacterial small subunit ribosomal RNA", at positions 327 to 500 of the family's 1533-position model. Lineage: Bacteria; Bacillati; Bacillota; Bacilli; Caryophanales; Staphylococcaceae. The record is from RNAcentral.
CGGUCCAGACUCCUACGGGAGGCAGCAGUAGGGAAUCUUCCGCAAUGGGCGAAAGCCUGACGGAGCAACGCCGCGUGAGUGAUGAAGGUCUUCGGAUCGUAAAACUCUGUUAUUAGGGAAGAACAUAUGUGUAAGUAACUGUGCACAUCUUGACGGUACCUAAUCAGAAAGCCACGGCUAA